AUACGGAGGGUGCGAGCGUUGUUCGGAAUUAUUGGGCUUAAAGAGCGUGUAGGCGGAGCGCAGGGUGUUGAGUGGAAGCCCCGGUCUCAAACCGGGAAUGGCUUGGCAAACCGGCGCUCUUGAGGCAGGUAGAGGUGACUGGAACGACUGGUGGAGCGGUGAAAUGCGUAGAUAUCAGUUGGAACGCCAGCGGCGAAAGCGAGUCACUGGGCCUGUCCUGACGCUGAGACGCGAAAGCGUGGGUAGCAAACAGGAUUAGAUACCCCUGUAGUCC
RNAcentral lists this ribosomal RNA (274 nucleotides) under uncultured bacterium. RNAcentral describes it as "partial 16S ribosomal RNA". It matches the Rfam family "Bacterial small subunit ribosomal RNA", at positions 523 to 796 of the family's 1533-position model. The record is from RNAcentral.